GAUUCAUGCUUUAAGAAAGGAAAGAUUUAAAGGAAGCUCGGUGACAACAGAGUUGAGCUGAAUGAGGAUGUGUUUAUAUGGAGGGUGGAGGGAAACAGUGCUUACACAGCAGGAUAUUUAUCAGAUAUUCAACUUCAGCCUGGGAAGAGAAUAUGAAUGAUUUUGUUCUCCUGAAGGAUCAGGAGAUGAGUAUCCUUCUGCCUCUGCUGAUUGGUUAAUGCCUCAGCAACAUCCCAGCCUAUUAUUCUACUUUUCAUCCUAUCAACAAGUUGUGAGCCAAUUUCACGAAGACACCAAGUUUGAUCUGAUGACGGCAACAUUCCCCAAUGCAUUGCAAGACGUGGGGCAAGCAGUAUGCAUGAUCCUGCCUUGAAGGAGCAUUGAAGCUGGUUUGUCUCUGAUCACAGGGGGAGAUGGAGGUCAGUCAUUCAAGCAGCCUGUCCUUGGCUUUCUCCCCACACAAGAAAGCACCAGCCAAUGGUGCUUUGGCUCGGUGUGAUGGAUGGACUGUUUCCCUUCCUGGGUCACCUGCUAUCCUAGUUUGGAUCUCUGCAGGUAGACUGUCUCUGAUCACAGCAGGGAGCUGGGGAAGGAUCUUUCCAGGACCUAGCAUAUGCACAAGGUGGGAUGAAGAAAGGCUUGUACAUGCUGUGCCCCCAAAUCCGGAGACAGAAACCAAGCUGAACCACAUUAAACUGUGGCUGGAGUUCUGCAGCCUCUUUAAGGUGCCAUUUAAUGCAGCGCUCCGAAAGUCUCUGAUAGGGCUAAGCUCACAGGAAGCGAGAGGUGUGUUUUUGUGGAGGUGGCCUCUGAGUUCCCAUUGGGUGCACCACUGCACAUCGAGCUGGGAAAAACUUCUGCAGCAGGAGCGCCACAUCAUGUUACGUGGCAGCUUUGUAACAAGAGGAAAAUUAUUUCCUCUGGUACUGUACUUGCUGUUGAACUAG
RNAcentral lists this long non-coding RNA (947 nucleotides) under Apteryx haastii (Great spotted kiwi). RNAcentral's name for it is "lncRNA (ENSAHAG00000017702.1)". Lineage: Eukaryota; Metazoa; Chordata; Aves; Apterygiformes; Apterygidae. The record is from RNAcentral.